CCUUUUUUUUUUUUUUUGGAUGAUUGCAGAUGUGGGGAGAGGGGAGGAGAGUGGGUGGCAGGACAGGUCUCUAUUGGCUGAUGACAAAUGCUGCACUCUGUAAACAGAACAGAUAAUUGAUAAAUCAAUUCAAAGCAAAGGACACGCCCACUAUGCUUACUAUAGUAUAAAAGGGAAUUCCAGAAAAAAUGGAAUCAGUUGCGGCAGUGGCAAAGCUAAAAAUAUAUUUUUUUCUGCAGGCUCCGCUUAUUUGGGUGGAGUUAUCUAAUUCUUCUUUUGCAACUAGCUUUUAUUAAUCCUUAAACACUAAUUAUUUGUUCCUCCUUCAUAUUUUGGUUUUGUCCAAGGAAGCCUCUCUUACAUAUGUCCUGUACACUUGAGAUUCACCUCCAAUUAAACCACUACAUAUUUCAUAUUAGCAAAAAUUUACUUCCAACUAAAAAGAAUGAGGAAAACUCCGCCUAAGUAGUUUACGCUUAGCCGAUCCCAAGCUUGGAUAAAGGAAGAGGGUUGCAGUAGGUGAUAACUAGCGUAAAUAUUUCGUCACACCUCACGAGAAUAGAAGAUAUUAAGAAGAAAUUGAAAAGAAUUAGGGCAGAGAUAGAAGAACAGAGUCGGAUUAGAGAGAAUAAAGAGAACAAAGGAAGGAAAAGAAGAGAGGAA
Molecule: unclassified non-coding RNA, 663 nt
Filed under: Hevea brasiliensis (rubber tree)
Lineage: Eukaryota; Viridiplantae; Streptophyta; Magnoliopsida; Malpighiales; Euphorbiaceae
Source: RNAcentral